UAGAGUUUGAUCAUGGCUCAGAGUGAACGUUGGCGGCGUGCCUAACACAUGCAAGUCGAACGAGAACCAAGAAGCUUGCUUUUUGGGGAAAGUGGCGAACGGGUGAGUAACACGUGAGUAACCUGCCCUCGAGUGGGGAAUAACUUCGCGAAAGCGAGGCUAAUACCGCAUAAUAUUUCGAAACACAAGUUUUCGAAAUCAAAGCUUUCGAGCGCUUGAGGAUGGGCUUGCGUCCUAUUAGCUAGUUGGUGGGGUAAUGGCCUACCAAGGUGACGAUGGGUAGCCGGCCUGAGAGGGUGAUCGGCCACACUGGAACUGCGACACGGUCCAGACUCCUACGGGAGGCAGCAGUGGGGAAUUUUGCGCAAUGGGCGAAAGCCUGACGCAGCGACGCCGCGUGGAGGAUGACGGCCUUCGGGUUGUAAACUCCUGUCAGAGGUGAAGAAAAUCUUCGGAUUGACGGUAACCUCAGAGGAAGCCCCGGCUAACUACGUGCCAGCAGCCGCGGUAAUACGUAGGGGGCAAACGUUGCUCGGAAUUACUGGGCGUAAAGGGUGUGCAGGUGGCUGAGAAAGUCGAUGAUGAAAUCCCGAGGCUUACCUUCGGAACUGUCAUCGAAACUGCUUGGCUUGAGGAUGGUUGAGGAAGACGGAAUUCCCGGUGGAGCGGUGAAAUGCGUAGAUAUCGGGAGGAACACCAGAGGCGAAGGCGGUCUUCUGAGCCAUUCCUGACACUGAGACACGAAAGCUAGGGGAGCGAACGGGAUUAGAUACCCCGGUAGUCCUAGCUGUAAACGAUGGGCACUAGAUGUUCUCGCUUAUUGCGGGAGUGUCGAAGUUAACGCGUUAAGUGCCCCGCCUGGGGAUUACGGUCGCAAGGCUGAACUCAAAGGAAUUGACGGGGGCCCG
RNAcentral lists this ribosomal RNA (908 nucleotides) under uncultured Aminicenantes bacterium. RNAcentral's name for it is "bacterial SSU rRNA". It matches the Rfam family "Bacterial small subunit ribosomal RNA", at positions 1 to 923 of the family's 1533-position model. Lineage: Bacteria; Candidatus Aminicenantota. The record is from RNAcentral.